AAGCAAAGAAAUAGCAAAGAACAUAGAUGACAUUAAUUAAACCCACAUUGAAAUGGGAAAAAUGAGUGACACAAGUAAGAAUUCCAGCGGUUCAAUUCGAUCCCAAAACUCAAAACUCCACACGGCAUUCAUCAUCAGUAACUGUUAGAACUGUUGAAAUAUAUUUGCUCAACAAUAAUUGUCGUAACAGUCAUAUGAAACAAAUAUAAUACAAUGUAACGUCAGAUUUUCGGGAAAGGAAAGCAAACAAACAAAAUUGCACACUCGCUUCAAAGGAUGGAAAAGGGACUUGACAAUGCCACGCGCACGUAGAUGGAUAGGCCAAUAAGUGAGAACUACCUCCCCCUGAGCAAAACCUUCACCGCCGCCGCCACGUUCGGGUCCCCCCCAGUCCAUGCCGCUCGUCGACCGCACAUUGUUGAUCACUUCCGUCGACUAUCGCACGUACUUCCCGUCCGAAGCCGCCGCCAGCGCCGACGCGAGUAAUAGCACCGCCGAAGAGGAUGGAACACCGGCCCCCCGUCGAGACUGCGAGCUCUCGCCGGCCCAUGGGCCGGGUGCUGGUCACGGCGGCCUAGGGACAGAGAAACCGCCGUUGGAGAAGUGGAGAUGGUAUUUCUCAAACAAGAACUGGGGGAGGGCAGCUACAAUAGAGAAGGUAGGGAAAAGUGGUAGCAGUUUGUAACCAAGGAGACGAGCCGUAGCUGACAGAGCUAAAAGAGAGGAGAGAAAGGAGAUCUCGGUGUGGGGAGGAGGUCGCAGAUGCCCUGUCGGCUUAUCACCUUAUCCUGACGCGUUUUAGCUGGAAUCGUGUGCAGGGAUCAAGCAAGAUAGCGGAUUCGUUCAGGAAUUGCGACAGGGGACCCUACCACCCCC
Molecule: long non-coding RNA, 876 nt
Filed under: Elaeis guineensis (African oil palm)
Lineage: Eukaryota; Viridiplantae; Streptophyta; Magnoliopsida; Arecales; Arecaceae
Description: long non-coding RNA (EGUI_LNC001047)
Source: RNAcentral